GGAAGUCAGGGCAAGGCCUGUGGGGAGACGUGUGGCUGGUCUGUGUGGAGACCUGAGUGAGGCAAAAGGGUCUAUGAAGAUUUGGGAAAGAACAUUCCAGGUGAGUUGAACUCACCAAAUGGGUGUCUAAGUGACGUACCAUGGAUCAACGAGAGAAGGAGCAUCUUGCUGACUACAUAUCAGAGCUUUUGCAAUGAAGAUGCAGCUCAACCCUUCUCAUGGAACAGCUGUCUUACCUUGCUCCAGAUUCACUGAUCAUAUGAAGACUUUCUCUGAAUCUUUUAAACUUAGAAGUUUAUGUUUUCUGCAUUUUCCAGGUAAAUUCAGAAAUAAUCCCAAGAAAAAAACAGUUUCUUUAGAAACUCUAAAAUAUGUACAGGUAAAAGCAUAACGACUGUUGAACACUUGAAAUUUGCUUCAAAAUAGUAAACAAUUCAUUGGCUUGUGAAGUUGGUAAAUCCAUGGGAUAGACUGGCUCAAAGCAUGGC
Molecule: long non-coding RNA, 488 nt
Filed under: Vulpes vulpes (red fox)
Lineage: Eukaryota; Metazoa; Chordata; Mammalia; Carnivora; Canidae
Description: lncRNA (ENSVVUG00000017892.1)
Source: RNAcentral